Lynx canadensis (Canada lynx) is the source of this 107-nucleotide small nuclear RNA. The record is from Ensembl. Lineage: Eukaryota; Metazoa; Chordata; Mammalia; Carnivora; Felidae.
GUGCUGGCUUUGGCACCACAUAUACUAAAAUUGGAAUGAUACAGAGAAGAUUAGCAUGGCCCCUGCACAAGGAUGACAUGCAAAUUCGUGAAGCGUUCCAUAUUUUU